Molecule: long non-coding RNA, 2171 nt
Organism: Cydia pomonella (codling moth)
Lineage: Eukaryota; Metazoa; Arthropoda; Insecta; Lepidoptera; Tortricidae
Exons: 2
Source: RefSeq, a predicted model, not a curated record
UGUCGGAAGGAUAUUCCUGCUUCUGUAAAACUAAUAAAUAAAAGUGUUUAGGAGCUGAUGUUCAAGGUAAGUGCAAGGUUAUACUUAAUGUUCCGUUUCCAUGGCGUUAUUUAUUUGAAAUACCGUUCAUUUGUAGUUUUAUUGAUAGUGGAAAAAAUAUAACCUAAGAUAUGUCAAGUGGGGGAAGUGAGUCUAGUAAUAUUGGGUCAAGAGAAACAUAUGUCCCUCUUUCCCUGUAUCAGAUGUCACAAACAUUUUCAUUGCCUGUGAAACCAUAAUAAAUUAUAAAUUUGUUUAAGAAAUAAUUUAGAACUUAUAAUAAAUAGGGGCAUUAAUUUAAAGAUUGCGUAGCUUACUGUCCCAAUUGGAUUUGUAAUGCGAAAAAAAUAUUUUACCACUUAAUAAAAAAAACGAAAAUAUGCUUUAAAGCUGAGUAAAAUCGUUUUAUAUUUAACAACAAGUAAAGUAUGUUUCUCUUACCCCACCUGACCUUAUCGUAAUUUCGAUUUUAGAUACCUACUAAUACAACGUGGGAACUUAAACCUAAUUGACAAAAAAAACACACAUUAUUCAAAGUAUUUAUAUACAUCAUCUAAAAUUUUGCGAAAAUUACUUAAUCAUAUUUUCAUUUGUCACCAUCCAUUCACCGCCAUCAACGGGGACAAGUGAGACAAAAAGUCCGAACUGUUACCACUGGGAACAAUUGGAACAAAAUAAUUCCCACUAGUUACAGUAACUUGUAGUGGAGACAACUAAGAAUAAACCUAUCCAGAAAAGCCAAUGAAAAAUUAUGUAUUUAUCAUAGUACAUACCUAAUUCAUUAUUUAUUGCAAUAAACGUAAUAAACGUGCAUUCAUAAAAAUAAACUAACGUAUCUAAUAAAUAAAACUAAAAGCGGCCAAGUGCCAGUCGGACUCGCCCAUGAAGGGUUCCGUACCAUUACUACCAUUUAUGGAAAGCCUUAAACAGACUGCGUUCCCAAGUUGGCCGCAGCAAAGACAAUUUCGUAAGGUGGGGCGGCCUACGCAGCUCAGGGGGCCUAUCGCGAAAAUCGAAAUUCGUCAAUUGCGGGCAUUUUUCUCUGUCACUCUAAUUACGUCUUAGUGAGAGUAAAAGAAAAAGAUCCCCGCAAUUUGUGAAUUUCGGUUUCGCGGUAGGCCCCCAGAUACUCAAUGGCAUGCGCAUGAAGCACGGCUCACCAAACGUUGACACACAUGCUGUCCUGCCCAGCAAACCCGCACACAUGUUCCGAGCAAGAUCUACGGGACACAACAGACAGCUUAAUAUAAAACGAUAUAUAAUAUAUACGACGAUAAAUACAAAACCAUCGACACGAGAAGAGACGAUCACGUUUGACUCUGUUGACUGGGUUGUUGAAUAAUCCUGUCCUAUCAAUACAUAAAGAUGUUAUCAUUUUUGAAAAAACUAGUGCCUAACUGCCUACUUCUAUUUUAUUCUUAGGAUUAGUUGUCAAGCGGAUCCUAUAAGGCUCUCAUGAGCCGUGGCAAAAGGCCGGGGCAACGAGAGGAAGAUGAUGAUUGUAAAUAAAUCUAGUAUAAAGCUGCUCCAUAUAAAUCUGUGUGGUGCCCCUAACAUGUAAGUGACACGUAAUUAAUUAUAAUCAGCACUAUUAUUUCAUUUUUAUCUCGUAAAUCUCGCGCGUUCAUCACAGGAAGUAGUUGUAUUGUUUGUCAAAGGUUUCCGCUGCGGGAUCAUGCAAUGGGCCGUAUAAAGAAGGAGCCAGGUGGACUGGACGCAAUGAAGCAGUGACCAGUAAAGAUGAAACACUCGUUUUGUUUGGCUGUCUUUGCCCUGUGCCUCUGCCUAGUGAUGGAGCCAGCACUCGUCAGUGCUGCGCCCUCGUCUUUUGCUGAAGCUGAGAUGCCUUUGAAGCGAGUCGCCCGACAAAUGCCGCCACCACCGCCACCACCACCAGAGAUGCCAAGUGGUAUGCCGGGUAUGUUAGAACCCUCUUUUAUGUACCAAAACAUCGCUGGCAUAUUGGGCUCCACGCGUAACAGACGAGAGGCGAAAGGCGGCGGUGCCAUACCCACAAGAAAAGGAUAGUUUUGUUGAACUUGAAACUAUAAAUUUAUUUGAUUUAACGACCCGACGACCAUGCAUGUUUGGAUUCCUAAUUAACUUUUAUUAAACUAAGAUUGAGCAAAUUA